This 346-nucleotide long non-coding RNA is filed under the name Oryza brachyantha (malo sina). RNAcentral's name for it is "long non-coding RNA (OBRA_LNC003137)". The record is from RNAcentral. Lineage: Eukaryota; Viridiplantae; Streptophyta; Magnoliopsida; Poales; Poaceae.
AAUCAACGUCCUUAUAUAUUAAAAUAGAUGGUAGCAGAAGCUAUAACUGAAACAUGACUUGUUUUCUUUCAUUCGUACCGAAAAGUACAUAGGCUUGGAAGACAGCAGGAACUCGAUGGUUGUGCCCCUAACUGGGCAAACAAAGGUCCAAGGAAAUUCCCCAUCCAAAGAGAAAGAAGCUACAAGUUUAUCAACUCAAACCAUGAUCAGAACCCAGAAGAAGGACAAACAGAAGAAGAUAUGGAAACAUGGAAAAUAUCAUUAACACUGGUGUUCCAUUCAUUCAUUGACAAGCAGAAGGUAUCUCUAACUGAGGUCUAGUAGCUCGGUUAUGGCAUCAGUAAAU